RNA transcript from Populus trichocarpa (black cottonwood), 1951 nucleotides. It is a transcript of the gene named suppressor of mec-8 and unc-52 protein homolog 1, with no coding region annotated. The transcript has 2 exons. NCBI's taxonomy places the organism in Eukaryota, Viridiplantae, Streptophyta, Magnoliopsida, Malpighiales, Salicaceae. The record is from RefSeq and is a predicted model, not a curated record.
UAGCCUUACAUGCUUGCAUCUACACCACACCUCUGAAUUUUGUCUUUUUUAUAUCCUAUAUAAUAUCUAAUGUUGUUACCUUCUCUAGUUCUCUUUACGGUUGUGCAUGUUUAAAUUAUCCAUAAAGUUUCCUUCUGAGACAAUAGAGGCAUUAGUUUAUAAUGAUCUUGUGAAGAAUGAGUUCUUGAGACAUCUUGGUAACUCUACUGGGACCAGAAAGUGUAAAUUUUUCUCAAAAGAAUUAGGGGGAGCCAAAAAAAAGUCAUGAAAAGUUCUUAAGACCUGACACUUUAAGUUUGAUUGUGGUUGGUAUGCAUUUGAAUUUAUUGAUUUGCAGAUUGUAAGGACUUAGAGAAUGCUUUAUGAGUGGAGGAAAACAUUUUGUUAUUUACAUGGAAUAGCGGUGAUGUUUUAGCACACCUUUUUGUAUUUAAGCUUUGUGUGUUUUUCCAGCUCGGGUGAAAUUUGCAUUGCUGGUCAGGGCUUAUGGAAAAAUUAUUAAAGUUGGAAUUUGACUUUGCCAUAUGCAAUGAACUUUGUUAACAUGCAAUUUUUCUCAGGUCUGGUGUACAAGGACUGGUCAAUGCUUGCGUUGUAUUGAAUGUGCACAUUCUCAGGGAGUCACGAGUCUUGCUUUCUCUUGUGAUGGAAGCCAGCUGCUAAGUGCAUCGUUUGACAACACACCCAGGUUCGAUUAAAUUAAUGGACUUUUUUAUUUUGUGUAUAGCAAGUUAAUUUUGUCUAUAGUGUCUCUGCUCACCACUAUAAUCAGUUGACACCUUUUAACACUAUUAUCUUUAUCUCUAUUUUAUCGUGUGGUCAUUGAAUUUCUAACUUUAGUCAUUCCCUUAUCCAUACAACAGUUAUUUUCUUGCUAUUAAUUUUAUGUGAAUGAUGCCAUCUUCACUAGUGAUGGAACUCGUGUUGUUACUGACUCCAGUGAUUGCACAGUCAAGUAGGUUUGGGAUAUGAAGAGUACUGACUGUAUACAUACAUUCAGGACACCACCACCAUUGAGGGUAUUUUUUCUUAAUCCAAUUUGCAUGAUCAUGAUCGAGCUGCAUAGUCUCAUGGGGCAUACCUGGGAUAGAAUACAUCCAUGCUAUAUGUCUUGCUUUUGCCUUCUACAGCACAUAGCUGAUUGUUGCUUGUUGUGUGGAUUGUAAGGGAGGUGAUGCUUCUGUGAACUCUGUUCAUCUUUUCCCAAAAAACACUGAUCAUAUUGUUGUAUGUAACAUGACAUCAUCGGUAUGCAUUAUGACACUUCAUGGACAGGUAGUUUCUCUCAACUCCAGCUGAUGCUAAUAGUUUGUCUCUUAUUUGUUACUCCUCCAUGAUUGGUUUUGGGGUUGGGACCAAAUUUUAGAUAGUGUACCAACUACUUUUUUGACAGCAAACCAUUGACAGUUCUCUAGCAUUUACUAGUCUUAGACCACCACAAAAGCAAACAUAAACAGAUUACCAUUCUAUAGAUAGAUUACAAUUCUAUGUUUUAGUGGUUAAGGUACUUUUUUUGUUCACUGAAACUCUUUCAGGGUGCAUAAGUAGAGGAGUUUUGAUAAUUCAUUAUCAAUAACAUCUUGCUUUGAGUGACUGUUAUGCAGGUUGUGAAGAGCUUUUCUUCAGGUAAAAGAGCUGGAGAUUUUGCUGCAGCCUGUGUAUCACCAAAAGGGGAAUGGAUCUAUUGUGUUGGUGAAGACAGGCAUUCCUUCAUCCACCUGAUUCUGAUAUAAAAUUUUCAAUUUUGUGUUUUAUUUAUUUUCUCAUAAAAUAAGAAUUCUAUAAAAAAAGAAGAGAAGGAUGAAAUGAAAAUGUCAUUUAUUGCUGAGACAAGUUGAGAGAUGGGUGUUUGAGACGGCUUAAUUUUGUUAAUAACUGUCCUCAAAAUUGCCUGCAGGAAUAUUUACUGCUUCAGCUUCCAAUCCUCUGCAAACUAGAGCAUCUAAUGAUG